AUGAACGCUGGCGGCGUGCCUAAUACCUGCAAGUCGAGCGAACAGACGAGGAGCUUGCUCCUCUGACGUUAGCGGCGGACGGGUGAGUAACACGUGGAUAACCUACCUAUAAGACUGGGAUAACUUCGGGAAACCGGAGCUAAUACCGGAUAAUAUAUUGAACCGCAUGGUUCAAUAGUGAAAGACGGUUUUGCUGUCACUUAUAGAUGGAUCCGCGCCGCAUUAGCUAGUUGGUAAGGUAACGGCUUACCAAGGCAACGAUGCGUAGCUGACCUGAGAGGGUGAUCGGCCACACUGGAACUGAGACACGGUCCAGACUCCUACGGGAGGCAGCAGUAGGGAAUCUUCCGCAAUGGGCGAAAGCUUGACGGAGCAACGCCGCGUGAGUGAUGAAGGUCUUCGGAUCGUAAAACUCUGUUAUUAGGGAAGAACAAAUGUGUAAGUAACUAUGCACGUCUUGACGGUACCUAAUCAGAAAGCCACGGCUAACUACGUG
This 496-nucleotide ribosomal RNA is filed under the name uncultured bacterium. Its description in RNAcentral is "partial 16S ribosomal RNA". It matches the Rfam family "Bacterial small subunit ribosomal RNA", at positions 29 to 507 of the family's 1533-position model. The record is from RNAcentral.